GACGAACGCUGGCGGCGUGCUUAACACAUGCAAGUCGAGCGGUAAGGCCCUUUCGGGGGUACACGAGCGGCGAACGGGUGAGUAACACGUGGGUGACCUGCCCUUACGCUCUGGGAUAAGCCUGGGAAACUGGGUCUAAUACCGGAUAUGACUCCAUAACGCAUGUUGUGGGGUGGAAAGCCUUGUGCGGCUAGGGAUGGGCCCGCGGCCUAUCAGCUUGUUGGUGGGGUGAUGGCCUACCAAGGCGACGACGGGUAGCCGGCCUGAGAGGGCGACCGGCCACACUGGGACUGAGACACGGCCCAGACUCCUACGGGAGGCAGCAGUGGGGAAUCUUGCGCAAUGGGCGAAAGCCUGACGCAGCGACGCCGCGU
Molecule: ribosomal RNA, 374 nt
Filed under: uncultured bacterium
Lineage: Bacteria
Description: bacterial SSU rRNA
Rfam family: Bacterial small subunit ribosomal RNA
Source: RNAcentral